AUUGAACGCUGGCGGCAGGCCUAACACAUGCAAGUCGAACGGUAACAGGAAGAAGCUUGCUUCUUUGCUGACGAGUGGCGGACGGGUGAGUAAUGUCUGGGAAACUGCCUGAUGGAGGGGGAUAACUACUGGAAACGGUAGCUAAUACCGCAUAACGUCGCAAGACCAAAGAGGGGGACCUUCGGGCCUCUUGCCAUCGGAUGUGCCCAGAUGGGAUUAGCUAGUAGGUGGGGUAACGGCUCACCUAGGCGACGAUCCCUAGCUGGUCUGAGAGGAUGACCAGCCCCACUGGAACUGAGACACGGUCCAGACUCCUACGGGAGGCAGCAGUGGGGAAUAUUGCACAAUGGGCGCAAGCCUGAUGCAGCCAUGCCGCGUGUAUGAAGAAGGCCUUCGGGUUGUAAAGUACUUUCAGCGGGGAGGAAGGGAGUAAAGUUAAUACCUUUGCUCAUUGACGUUACCCGCAGAAGAAGCACCGGCUAACUCCGUG
Molecule: ribosomal RNA, 490 nt
Filed under: uncultured bacterium
Lineage: Bacteria
Description: partial 16S ribosomal RNA
Rfam family: Bacterial small subunit ribosomal RNA
Source: RNAcentral